GACGAACGCUGGCGGCGUGCCUAAUACAUGCAAGUAGAACGCACAGUUUAUACCGUAGCUUGCUACACCAUAGACUGUGAGUUGCGAACGGGUGAGUAACGCGUAGGUAACCUGCCUGGUAGCGGGGGAUAACUAUUGGAAACGAUAGCUAAUACCGCAUAAUAUUAAUUAUUGCAUGAUAAUUAAUUGAAAGGUGCAAUUGCACCACUACCAGAUGGACCUGCGUUGUAUUAGCUAGUAGGUGAGGUAACGGCUCACCUAGGCGACGAUACAUAGCCGACCUGAGAGGGUGAUCGGCCACACUGGGACUGAGACACGGCCCAGACUCCUACGGGAGGCAGCAGUAGGGAAUCUUCGGCAAUGGACGAAAGUCUGACCGAGCAACGCCGCGGGAGUGAAGAAGGUUUUCGGAUCGUAAAGCUCUGUUGUAAGAGCAGAACGGGUGUGAGAGUGGAAAGUUCACACUGUGACGGUAUCUUACCAGAAAGGGACGGCUAACUACGUG
RNAcentral lists this ribosomal RNA (505 nucleotides) under uncultured bacterium. RNAcentral's name for it is "partial 16S ribosomal RNA". It matches the Rfam family "Bacterial small subunit ribosomal RNA", at positions 28 to 507 of the family's 1533-position model. The record is from RNAcentral.